This 1621-nucleotide long non-coding RNA is filed under the name Citrus x clementina. RNAcentral describes it as "Citrus clementina (C. clementina) long non-coding RNA (CCLE_LNC002763)". The record is from RNAcentral. Lineage: Eukaryota; Viridiplantae; Streptophyta; Magnoliopsida; Sapindales; Rutaceae.
UUUUAAAUUUCUCAAACUUGUUACAAUUUUUUUUGGUGAAGUUGAUGCAACUCGAUUUUUCUGACAUUAUGAGUGGUGGUUAUUAAAUGUUACAUGUUUAUUAAAUAUAUUAUAUUUGGAUUAUUUUAAAUUUGUCGCGAUAAUAAAUUGAGACAAAUCGAACGCGAUUAAAGGGUUUUGUAGUCGAAUUUUAUUUUCAACAUGGAUCCGGUAUUAGCUUAAUUUGUAUUAAGCUCUAAAAAAAAGGGGGCCGAUUCUAUAAAUAGAAAGACGGGGAGGGGGAGAGAAGAAGCUGAACUGGUUUGACCCGCGACCCGAACCGACUCGCGAACGUGACCCGGUUGGAACUCACGAUUUCGGCCACCGUUCCGACCAAGCAAGGUACCAAUGUGAAGCUUAGAAGCCAACCAUGACAACUCGUCGUCCUCCCCGUCGAAAACCGACCGGAACGCGGCCGUUGGAAGCUCAAAAAGUUGCAGCCAAAACCCAUCACCAUCGUUGUCGAUUUCACCGGAAUUAGGCUGCGUCACCGGCUGGGUUCUACUCCUCACGUCACCAGUUUCUAUUUCCGACCGGUCCCGUCACCUGAAACGGCCGGAUUGUCGCAGAUCGGCCACUUGUAGGUUCACGGAUUUGGGAGCUCGAUCCGGAGCUGUCACCGCGCAUGGGACCUCACCGCCACGACCAUUGGACUCAGCGUGGUUAAAACUAUCAGACCUAAGCUUCCCAUCGCCGUUGCCUGAACACCGGUCACUGUUGACAGGCAGGGGUAAUUUGGUAAUUUCACAAACUUUGGGGAUAAUUUCGUAAUUUCAAAAAAUGGUGGAUAACUUUGUAAUUUCAUAUUAGGGCAGAUAGGUAAUUUGAGAUUUUGGGGGUAAUUCGGUAUGUUGUUAAGGGCAUUUUGGUAAUUUCGCACUCCAAGGGUAAUUUUGUAAUUUUAGGCCUUAUGGUUAUUUUUGUAAUAUGAAUUGAGGCUAGCUUAGUAAUUUAAAUUUGGUAAAUAUCGAUGUCGGGGCAUUUUGGUAAUUUUAGGACGUAGGAGUAUUUUGGUAAUUUUAUGAAUACAGGACGGACAAAUAUUUGUUUCGAGUUCUAUUGCGUAAAAUUAGUUGUAUUUCAUAUAUAUGGAAAAUGAUUAUGUCGUUUCCUUCAAUUAGAAGGAUUUACGAACGGGAAUUAACCUGCAGACAUUGAUGAUACCGAUUUCGAAUAUUGUCACUGUGAAUGGAAUAUACAAAACUUAUUUUCAUAAUAUAUUCUAAUUUUACGAUACAGUACAGUAUUUUUUGAUAAAUAAAUAUUUAAUGCUCUGAUUUAAUGAUUUUCUAGAAAAUGAAUUCUUAUCUAUGUGCUAAUAUUUAUUUAUUAUUGAAAAUGAGUUUGAUUAAUGAUUUUACUAUCAUUUUUAAGUUAAUGCAAGAUAAUACUUUUAAAGAGAAUUAAGUGAAUUUGAAGGGUUGUUUGCAAAACAUAAAUGAGAUUUAUGUGUGAUUAUAUGUUUAUGUAUAUGUGUAUAAAAGGGUUGUUUGCAAAAUCAUUGGGCAGUAUCCUUCCCCUUCAGAUAUAGUGAUCGGGAUGAGAUGAGAGUCCUUUGGGGCUGUCUGAACACACAUAGAGG